CAUAAGCCCAAGAGCUCCCAGAGGUCAGAGCGAAUCCUUAUGUACAAAGGUAGAUUAGCCCUAGUGUCCAUCAUUUGAACACACCAUCCUGUUCCUUGUGGGUGGGGACGCUUCAGUUCUCCCAUGGAGAGUCAGUGUGCAGCCUAAUAAGCAUAAGAUGUUCAGCACCAACAGAUAAGGAAGGUCCAGAUUAUGACUGGGCUCAUGUACAAUGGAAGUUCUUCUGUGUAGAGUAUGUUCCUGCCUCUUAGGUGAUUGGAUGUUUUCUAGCAAUUGGGUCCUUUCUGUUUUGUCAUAACCUCC
This is a non-coding RNA of Pelobates cultripes (western spadefoot toad), 303 nucleotides long. Lineage: Eukaryota; Metazoa; Chordata; Amphibia; Anura; Pelobatidae. The record is from the annotation of a GenBank genome assembly.